This 550-nucleotide ribosomal RNA is filed under the name uncultured bacterium. Its description in RNAcentral is "bacterial SSU rRNA". It matches the Rfam family "Bacterial small subunit ribosomal RNA", at positions 64 to 645 of the family's 1533-position model. The record is from RNAcentral.
GAACGAGAACGUCCCUUCGGGGAGCAAGUAAAGUGGCGUACUGGUGAGUAACACGUGGGUUAUCUGCCCUUUGGUGGGGAAUAACUUUGGGAAACCGAAGCUAAUACCGCAUAAGCCCGAAAGGGGAAAGGCUUCGGCCGCCGAAGGAGGAGCCCGCGGCCGAUUAGCUUGUUGGUAGGGUAAUGGCCUACCAAGGCAUCGAUCGGUAGCCGGCCUGAGAGGGCGCACGGCCACACUGGCACUGAAACACGGGCCAGACUCCUACGGGAGGCAGCAGUAGGGAAUCUUGCACAAUGGGGGAAACCCUGAUGCAGCGACGCCGCGUGAGCGAUGAAGCCCCUCGGGGUGUAAAGCUCUUUCAGCAGGGACGAAAUUGACGGUACCUGCAGAAGAAGCUGCGACUAACUACGUGCCAGCAGCCGCGGUAAUACGUANGCAGCGAGCGUUGUUCGGAGUUACUGGGCGUAAAGCGUGUGUAGGCGGGUUUGCAAGUUCGGUGUGAAAUCUCCCGGCUUAACCGGGAGCCUGCGCCGAAAACUGCAAGUCUUGA